UGCCAGCAGCCGCGGUAAUACGGAGGGGGCUAGCGUUGUUCGGAAUUACUGGGCGUAAAGCGCGCGUAGGCGGCUUUGUAAGUUAGAGGUGAAAGCCCGGGGCUCAACUCCGGAAUUGCCUUUAAGACUGCAUCGCUUGAAUCAUGGAGAGGUGAGUGGAAUUCCGAGUGUAGAGGUGAAAUUCGUAGAUAUUCGGAAGAACACCAGUGGCGAAGGCGACUCACUGGACAUGUAUUGACGCUGAGGUGCGAAAGCGUGGGGAGCAAACAGGAUUAGAUA
This 279-nucleotide ribosomal RNA is filed under the name uncultured bacterium. RNAcentral's name for it is "partial 16S ribosomal RNA". It matches the Rfam family "Bacterial small subunit ribosomal RNA", at positions 506 to 784 of the family's 1533-position model. The record is from RNAcentral.